UAGUCUACGCCGUAAACGAUGGAUACUAGUUGUUUGGCAUUUAUGCUGAGUGACUAAGCGAAAGUGAUAAGUAUCCCACCUGGGGAGUACGUUCGCAAGAAUGAAACUCAAAGGAAUUGACGGGGGCCCGCACAAGCGGUGGAGCAUGUGGUUUAAUUCGAUGAUACGCGAGGAACCUUACCAGGGCUUAAAUGUAUGUUGACGGGUUUAGAGAUAGACUUUUCUUCGGACAAUAUACAAGGUGCUGCAUGGUUGUCGUCAGCUCGUGCCGUGAGGUGUCAGGUUAAGUCCUAUAACGAGCGCAACCCCUACCGUUAGUUGCCAGCAAGUAAAGUUGGGGACUCUAGCGGGACUGCCGGUGCAAACCGAGAGGAAGGUGGGGACGACGUCAAAUCAUCACGGGCCCUUACGUCCUGGGGCCACACACGUGCUACAAUGGCCGGUACAAUGGGGAAGCCACCACGCAAGUGGGCGCGGGAUCUAUAAAACCGGGUCACAGUUCGGGAUCGGGGGUCUGGCAACUCGACCCCGU
RNAcentral lists this ribosomal RNA (532 nucleotides) under uncultured bacterium. RNAcentral describes it as "bacterial SSU rRNA". It matches the Rfam family "Bacterial small subunit ribosomal RNA", at positions 791 to 1321 of the family's 1533-position model. The record is from RNAcentral.